AACCCCUGGCAAUGGGCAAGGAGACACCUUGCUGCUGGUGUCGUUCUUAUAUCGGUUGGGGCAGAGCAGAUGGCAGUCCUUUGUUCAUCCUAGCCUGAUGUCUGGCUUGAUGGCCAAAGCUGUCUUAUGCCUAGGACUCAUAA
Meriones unguiculatus (Mongolian gerbil) is the source of this 143-nucleotide small nucleolar RNA. RefSeq annotates it as small nucleolar RNA SNORA48. The transcript has a single exon. The record is from RefSeq and is a predicted model, not a curated record. NCBI's taxonomy places the organism in Eukaryota, Metazoa, Chordata, Mammalia, Rodentia, Muridae.